Molecule: ribosomal RNA, 519 nt
Filed under: uncultured Gammaproteobacteria bacterium
Lineage: Bacteria; Pseudomonadati; Pseudomonadota; Gammaproteobacteria
Description: bacterial SSU rRNA
Rfam family: Bacterial small subunit ribosomal RNA
Source: RNAcentral
GAGUUUGAUCCUGGCUCAGAUUGAACGCUGGCGGCGUGCUUAACACAUGCAAGUCGAGCGGUAACAGGCGUAGCAAUACGUGCUGACGAGCGGCGAACGGGUGAGUAAUGCUUCGGAAUCUUCCUCGUAGUGGGGAAUAACCUGGGGAAACUCAGGCUAAUACCGCAUACGAACUACGGUUGAAAGCAGGGGAUCGCAAGACCUUGCGCUAUGAGAUGAGCCGAAGUCGGAUUAGCUAGUUGGUGAGGUAACGGCUCACCAAGGCGACGAUCCGUAGCUGGUCUGAGAGGACGACCAGCCACACUGGGACUGAGACACGGCCCAGACUCCUACGGGAGGCAGCAGUGGGGAAUAUUGGACAAUGGGGGCAACCCUGAUCCAGCGACGCCGCGUGUGUGAAGAAGGCCUGCGGGUUGUAAAGCACUUUUAGUGGGGAUGAAAAGCCGAAGGCUAAUACCUUUCGGUCUUGACCUAACCCAAAGAAAAAGCACCGGCUAACUCUGUGCCAGCCGCCGCGGU